GACGCUGCAACAUUUUAUGUAAUUCCAAAUUAUGCAUUUUGCAAAAUUUAAAAAAAAAAGUGUUCAAGUAAAGUAAUAUAAGCAGUAAAAAAAAGCACAUUUACACUUACAUGAUUAAUUUGUCUUCCAACCCUCAAUAGUAAAGCACAAAAAACUACCUUAGCCUCACAUCAUAAUCAAUCAUUACAACCUGUGAAUGGUUCUGCUCACUAACAGAGUAAUAUGUGAUUGAAGAAAUGUUUUUAUAUAUUGUUUUUUUUUUCCCCUCCAAAAGAGAGAUACCGGCACACCGUUCUGCCUUUUGCGUCAAAUUAAGUAAUGCUAAUGAUUUUAUUGUAAAAGUUCAUCAUGUAUUAGUCAAAAUGAGAGUAUAUUGGUGAAAUAAGUAUAAAGAGAUAUUUUACCCAUAAUUGUUGAAAAAUACAAUAUUUUUACGAAUAAAGACUGUUUUAAAGUAAAAACAAUAAGACAGAAAUCUCAUGUUUUAAAAAUGAAACCAUAAAAUCUUGUCCCUUAUGGAGGUUAUGUUCAGGGUGGUCACAGACUGGGAAAACCUGGAAAAGCCUGGGAAUUAAAAACAGGUUGUGGAAAACCUGGAAAAGUCAGGGAAUUUUUGGUUCUGUCAGGGAAAUUUUUGAGAAAGUUUGUUUCUGCAUCCUAAUGGUUUCUUCAAUUGCGACUUUUGUUGUAGACACAUGUAUUUAAAUAUAGCAUUUUCAAAAUUAUUUCUGCAAGUUACCAUAUUAGCCCAAAUCUGCGCAUACGUUUUGAAAAUAGCAUGGUGCGCAGGUAUUCAAAAUUUGGCAAAGCUGCAUAGCACAAGUUUUUCGUGCUCUAUUGUUGGUUAACCUGUGGUUUCAAAAUGGACAACUGACAUCUUGUUCUCUGAUUUGAAUCAGGCAUUUCGCGGGAGGUGUUAAACGUUACUGAAGAAGAAAAUUAAGGAGAGGCUGGCGCCGGGAACAAUACGGCACCUUCCUCCCGGAACCACGUCUCGCAGCUGGAGACGAUGCGGCCCAUGGUGACGACGAGCUGCACCAGCAUGGCGUGGUCGUCCCUCGUGGCGGGAUCCGCGAGGAAGCUCUGCAGCUGCAUGUACGUCUUGUCCUGCACCUGCCGACACGCCAUCCAGCCUCGUCAGUCCCCCACAGACAUCCUCACAUGUCGGAAAGAAGUACCCGGUGAGGUAGAAAAACCAUCACGGGACGGUUUGGAAAACGUUGCCCGAGGGUCAGCACUGCCGGGCCCUCACGCCGUCGGAGUCUUCAAAGGCUAAAUGGGAAAGGAUUGCUUACCCGUCUUACAGCCAAGAUGCCCACGAUGUAGACAGGAAUUAUUGUAAGCGACGGCCAGCUGUUCCGACUUUCAGACAAAGCCUUCUCCAGCUCUUGCAACCGAUGAACAAAAACUGGCUUCAACUGCGGAAACACAAUAUCAAACCAUUACUACUGACAAGAUUUUAUGGUUUUAUUUUCAAGUCAAUUUUUUUUUAAAAAAAAGGAGAUUUUAGCAUUAUUAUUUAUAUUAAUUCUGUUUA
Molecule: long non-coding RNA, 1537 nt
Organism: Bacillus rossius redtenbacheri
Lineage: Eukaryota; Metazoa; Arthropoda; Insecta; Phasmatodea; Bacillidae
Exons: 3
Source: RefSeq, a predicted model, not a curated record